Molecule: ribosomal RNA, 253 nt
Filed under: uncultured bacterium
Lineage: Bacteria
Description: partial 16S ribosomal RNA
Rfam family: Bacterial small subunit ribosomal RNA
Source: RNAcentral
UACGUAGGGUCCGAGCGUUGUCCGGAAUUACUGGGCGUAAAGAGCUCGUAGGUGGUUUGUCGCGUUGUUCGUGAAAACUCACAGCUUAACUGUGGGCGUGCGGGCGAUACGGGCAGACUGGAGUACUGCAGGGGAGACUGGAAUUCCUGGUGUAGCGGUGGAAUGCGCAGAUAUCAGGAGGAACACCGGUGGCGAAGGCGCCACUCUGGGCCGAAACUGACGCUGAGGAGCGAAAGCGUGGGUAGCAAACAGG